UUCUUUAUGGUUUUAUAUAAGGUAAUUUCUGCCCAAUGAUUAAUUUUAUUUAAAUGGCUGCAGUAUCUUGACUGUACAAAGGUAGCGUGAUAAUUAGUUUUUUAAUUGGAAACUUGAAUGAAAGGAUAAAUGAGAAAUUUUCUUUAUUAAUUUAAUAAUUAAAAUUUUAUUUUUUGGUUAAAAGGCUAAAUUGAUUUUUAGGGACGAUAAGACCCUAUAGAAUUUAAAAUAUAUAUUUAUUAAUUGUGGUUUUUUUAGGUUUUAUUAAUUCCUUUAGUUUAAAUUUUUAAUUGGGGUGAUUAAUAAAUUUAACUUUAUUUUUGUAAUUCAUUAAUUUAUGUUUAUAUGAUCCUUUAUAAGAUUAUAAGAAAAAUUACCUUAGGGAUAACAGCGUAAUUUUAAUAGGAAGUUCAUAUUUAAAUUGAAGUUUGCGACCUCGAUGUUGAAUUAAGAUAUAGUUAAGGUGUAGAUGCUUUAGUGUAAAGUCUGUUCGACUUUUAAAAUCUUACA
This 510-nucleotide ribosomal RNA is filed under the name Olidiana halberta. Its description in RNAcentral is "partial large subunit ribosomal RNA". The stretch from base 384 to 510 matches the Rfam family "Archaeal large subunit ribosomal RNA", at positions 2542 to 2669 of the family's 2987-position model. The record is from RNAcentral. Lineage: Eukaryota; Metazoa; Arthropoda; Insecta; Hemiptera; Cicadellidae.